GACGAACGCUGGCGGCGCGCCUAACACAUGCAAGUCGAACGGAGCACAGAGGAGGAAGUUUUCGGACAGAAUUUUUUGUUGCUUAGUGGCGAACGGGUGAGUAACACGUGAGUAACCUACCUUUUAGAGGGGGACAACAUUCGGAAACGGAUGCUAAUACCGCAUAAGACCACGGAACCGCAUGGUUCUGAGGCCAAAGGAUUUAUCCGCUUAAAGAUGGACUCGCGUCCGAUUAGCUAGAUGGUGAGGUAAAGGCUCACCAUGGCGACGAUCGGUAGCCGGACUGAGAGGUUGAACGGCCACAUUGGGACUGAGACACGGCCCAGACUCCUACGGGAGGCAGCAGUGGGGAAUAUUGCACAAUGGGCGAAAGCCUGAUGCAGCGACGCCGCGUGGAGGAAGAAGGUUUUCGGAUUGUAAACUCCUGUCCCCGGGGACGAUAAUGACGCUACCCGGGAAGAAAGCCACGGCUAACUACGUGCCAGCAGCCGCGGUAAAACGUAGGUGGCAAGCGUUGUCCGGAAUUACUGGGUGUAAAGGGAGCGCANGCGGGUGCGCAAGUUGAAUGUGAAAACUAUGGGCUCAACCCAUAGACUGCGUUCAAAACUGUGCAUCUUGAGUAAUGUAGAGGUAGGCGGAAUUCCCGGUGUAGCGGUGGAAUGCGUAGAUAUCGGGAGGAACACCAGUGGCGAAGGCGGCCUACUGGGCAUUUACUGACGCUGAGGCUCGAAAGUAUGGGUAGCAAACAGGAUUAGAUACCCUGGUAGUCCAUACUGUAAACGAUGAUUACUAGGUGUGGGGGGAUAGACCCCCUCCGUGCCGCAGCAAACGCAAUAAGUAAUCCACCUGGGGAGUACGGCCGCAAGGCUGAAACUCAAAUGAAUUGACGG
RNAcentral lists this ribosomal RNA (890 nucleotides) under uncultured bacterium. RNAcentral's name for it is "bacterial SSU rRNA". It matches the Rfam family "Bacterial small subunit ribosomal RNA", at positions 28 to 916 of the family's 1533-position model. The record is from RNAcentral.